AGGACGAACGCUGGCGGCGUGCUUAACACAUGCAAGUCGAGCGGAAAGGCCCUUCGGGGUACUCGAGCGGCGAACGGGUGAGUAACACGUGAGUAAUCUGCCCCUAGCUCUGGGAUAGCUCCGGGAAACCGGGAUUAAUACCAGAUAUUACCACUUUAGACAUCUCUUGUGGUGGAAAGAUUUCGGCUAGGGAUGAACUCGCGGCCUAUCAGCUUGUUGGUGAGGUAACGGCUCACCAAGGCGACGACGGGUA
RNAcentral lists this ribosomal RNA (253 nucleotides) under uncultured bacterium. RNAcentral describes it as "partial small subunit ribosomal RNA". It matches the Rfam family "Bacterial small subunit ribosomal RNA", at positions 26 to 285 of the family's 1533-position model. The record is from RNAcentral.